GGCAAGAGGUUCAUUUGGGAGCCGAUCCCAAGGAAGCCCCAUAGAGGUAUCAGACAUGCUUUGGUGCUACAAUGACACAAAUAUUCCUGUGUACAAGAUAUGUCGAUAUGUUAUUAUCCUCUGAAAGCACCUCAUCCAGCGGUCAGGCUGAUGGCACCCUCAGCCACUCAGGCCAUAAAUUGCAAGAUGGCGAUGAGGGAUGCUAGAAACUGAGCACCGUUCAAGACUUGAUUCUGUAGGAAAGAUGGAAUUGCCCUCAGGCAGCUCUCAGAACAGCUGUGUAACACCGCAGAUGACUGCAGCAGGAUUCACUGACCACGGUGUUUGGUAUUGUGUCUCAGCAACAGGAAAGCUGACUAAUACAGCAAGAUUCAGAUGUAAAUUCAGGUCUCCUGAGAUAUUUCCAGUCUACAGUUGGUUGACUCUGUAGAUGUGGAACCCUUGAAUAUGGAGAGCUGACUGGACUCUGAUACGUGUUCUACAAUCAACAACAUUCUCAGAGCUCAGAGACCCAAGAAAAGAGAGACAAGAAAGGGC
Molecule: long non-coding RNA, 537 nt
Filed under: Heterocephalus glaber (naked mole-rat)
Lineage: Eukaryota; Metazoa; Chordata; Mammalia; Rodentia; Bathyergidae
Description: lncRNA (ENSHGLG00100041767.1)
Source: RNAcentral